Non-coding RNA from Aedes aegypti (yellow fever mosquito), 74 nucleotides. The record is from Rfam. NCBI's taxonomy places the organism in Eukaryota, Metazoa, Arthropoda, Insecta, Diptera, Culicidae.
CCUCUCAUGGCGUAGUGGUUAACGCGCCCCAACUAGAGAUCGGGGAGUCGUGAGUUCGAUUCUCACUGAGAGGA